Molecule: non-coding RNA, 774 nt
Filed under: Argestina pomena
Lineage: Eukaryota; Metazoa; Arthropoda; Insecta; Lepidoptera; Nymphalidae
Source: RNAcentral
GAUAAAAUUUUUAUGUUUUAUCUAAUUUAUUAUAAAUUUGUUUUACAUAUAAAUUUUAGUAUAAAAUUUUAAUUAUUUGAAUAAUAAUUAAUUUAAAAUUGUAGUAAUUAAAAUUAAAAAUUUAAGAAAUUAAGAUUUAGUAAUAUAAAAAUUAAUAACUAAUUUUGUGCCAGCAGUUGCGGUUAUACAAAAAUUAAUAUAAAUUUUUUCAGUAUAUAAUAAAUAAAAGUUAAUUAAAAUCAAUAUUAAAUUAUUAAGUGAAAUUUUAAUUUAAUUAAAUUUUAAAAUAAUUUUAUGAUUUAAUAAAUUUAAUAAUAAACUAGGAUUAGAUACCCUAUUAUUAGAAAUUUAAUUAAUAAUACUAAAAUAGUAGAUAAAAAAUAUUGAAACUUAAAUAAUAUGGCGGUAUUUUAGUUCAUUUAGAGGAAUCUGUCUAAUAAUUGAUAAUCCACGAAUAAAUUUACUUAAUUUAAGAUUUUAUAUAUCGUUGUUAAAAAAAUAUUUUUAAAUAAAAAUAAUAUUUAAAAAUUUUAAAAAAAAAUUAAUUCAGAUCAAGAUGUAGAAAAUAAUUAAGAAUAUGAUGGAUUACAAUAAAAUAAUUUAAACGAAUAGUUUUAUUUUAAUAUAAAAUUGAAGGUGGAUUUAAAUGUAAUUUUAAUUAAUUUAUUAAAAUGAUUAAAAAUUAAAAUAUGUACAUAUUGCCCGUCACUUUCAUUUAAAAAUUGGAAUAAGUCGUAACAAAGUAGAGGUACUGGAAAGUGUUUCUAGAAUAAA